Molecule: long non-coding RNA, 1496 nt
Filed under: Nicotiana benthamiana
Lineage: Eukaryota; Viridiplantae; Streptophyta; Magnoliopsida; Solanales; Solanaceae
Description: long non-coding RNA (NBEN_LNC033057)
Source: RNAcentral
UCGAUUUCACAUUAGAAUCAAGAAUUGAGUUCAAGAAUCUUACCACCAGGUGAUUCCCCUUGAAUCCCUCUUCAAUCCUCUUAAAAAAGCUUCAAAAUCGACCAACAAUGGAGGAACUUAGCUUCAAAUUCGCAAAAAUGAGCUUUUAAAACAUUCUUCCCAACUCUUAUUUUUACUUAAUCACGAUCGCAGAAACACAUUAGGAUUGUGAAGCAAUGACCAAUAUCCACUAUCCGCGAUCCUGUGUAUCCUCAAGUGAACGCGAUGCCCAAAAUCUUCCAACUACUCGAUCGCAAAUGAGACCACGCGACCACGAUACACGGAAACAUAAAGCUAUGAGAUCGUAGCUCCAUCUACGCGAACGCGAAGAGAAACCUGGAUGCCCAUUGAGAUAACUCUACGCGAUCAUGAACCUUCUCACAUGACCGCAAUGAAGAAAAACCUUCAACAGAACUGAAGCCAAAACCUGCAACUUUGAAUAUAAAAAUUUGAUCCGUUUAACCACCCGAAACUCACUCGAGGCCCUCGGGACCUCAACCAAAGGCACUAAAAUAACCCAUAUCAUCAUUCAAACUUGUUCCGGCCUUCGGAAUGCAUAAACAAUCAUUAAAACACCGAAUCUCAUCGAAUUAAAGCCUAAGAAUUUCAAGAACUUCCAAAUUACACUUUUGAUUAAAAACCCAAUCAAACCACGUCCGAAUGACUUGAUAUUUUUGGCACACAUCCCAAAUGACAUGAUAGAACUUCUUCAACUUUCGGAAUUUCAUUCCGACCUCUAUAUCAAAAUCUCACCUAUCAACUAAAAACGUCGAAAUCUCAAUCUCGCCAAUUCAAACCUAAACCUUCCACAUACCUCCAAAAUACAUUCCGAUCACGUAUCUAAGUCACAAAUCACCUGACAAAGCUAACCAAAUCAUAAAAAAUCUGAUCCAAGAUCAUAUACAAACAAAUCAAAUCUUGGUCAAACCUUUCAAAUUUCAUGCUUCAACUGAAAACUGUUCUUCCAAAUUCAUUCCGAUUACUUGGAAAACCAAACCAACAAAUUACAUUAGUCAUAAUACAUCACACAGGACAAGUCAUGCCUGAGAACUAGCGAUCAAAGUGCAAAAACUCAAAACAAUCGGCCGACUCGUUACAAUAGCAUACUUAUAUACUAUACCAGUAUCAUAUUUUACAUUUAAAAAAUACACACAAAUCAGAACAAUUUUAUACUCGCGUAGUAUACUAAUUAGCAUACUUAUAUACUAUAUCCAUAUUAUCUUUUGCUGAUAAAAAAACACAAACACAAACCAAUACAAUUCUAUACUUACAUAGUGUACUGAUAUAACAUAGUGAUAUACUACAUUGGCAACAUGUUUUAGUGAUAAAGAACACACACAAGAACCAGUACAAUUCUAUACUCACAUAGUAUACCGAUAUAAAAUCAUGAUGUACUAUAUAGGUAUCACAUUGUUUUUUAUUUGAAAAAUGCAGAUGAACCUUCUUGGGCAUGUUCU